CAUUGCUACCUCGGGCUAUGAUCUCGUCAGAUCUCAUAAGCGAAAUGGGGUCAGGCCUGGCCGCUGUAGUGGGAUAAACCUUYAGGAAAACCCGGACG
RNAcentral lists this ribosomal RNA (98 nucleotides) under Nothoprocta perdicaria. The record is from RNAcentral. Lineage: Eukaryota; Metazoa; Chordata; Aves; Tinamiformes; Tinamidae.